Molecule: long non-coding RNA, 1887 nt
Organism: Anas platyrhynchos (mallard)
Lineage: Eukaryota; Metazoa; Chordata; Aves; Anseriformes; Anatidae
Source: RefSeq, a predicted model, not a curated record
CUAAGUUUCUGACCUAACAAAACUGUGGGAUAAAAACUAACCAGCUAUCCCUUCCACCUGAUUAAUCACCUUUUUUAAAGACUCCUGUAGAGGACACUAAUCAUUGACUGAACUUCAGCUCUCAUCAGCAGGACUCAGCAUCUGACUGUACUGCAACCAGACAAAUAGAAAAUUUGAUACUACUGGGACAAAUCAGGUACGUAGAGACAGAGAAGAAUCUCCACACCAGAUCACCUGCUCCUGUGUGGGCUCCUCUCUACAAGCUGCAGUUCCGGCCAAGAGUCAAGUCACUUCCUGAAGGGACUCUCUAUAUUCAGACCAUUCAGCUUCCUUCAGACCAUAUCCACCUGCUGUGUUGUGGGCUCUGCCAUCGGUUGCUGUGUGGAGAUCUGCACCAAUGUGGUAUACCAUGGUCUUCAGGGGGACAAUUUGUAUUAUCAUGACCCUCUGUAUGAGCUGCAGGGGAUCUUCUGCUUGUAGCACCUCCUCCCGCUUUUUUUUUUUUUUUGUGGAACUUGGUUUCGGUUGGGUUGUUUCUCUCACAUUUUCUCGCUUCUCUCUCCCAGCUGCUGCUGUGCAAUGUUUUUCAGCCUGACUGGUUCAGCUUUGGCCAGCAGACAGUCCCUUUUUGAACUUGCUGGAACUGACAUGGAUCUGACAUGGAGAAGCUCCUGGUCUUUUCUCAUUCUCAUAGAGGCCAUCCCUGCAGCCCCCAAGAUACUAAAACCUUGCCACAUAAACCCAGUAAAAUUCUCUUUUUGGAAAUCUAACAUCAAGCUUUUGCAUUAUAUUAAAGUUCUAUCUUAAGCCAAGCUGUAAUGGAAUAUGGUUACAUAAACAGUAGUCCAAGUCAUGUUGAAACGUUAUGCAUGAUUGUUCUGCUUGAAACAUCUAUUAUUUUUCUCUGAGACCCCUUUGUGUACUUUACAAGAAACAAAAUGUGAAUCUAUUUGAACUUUCCUGUGAUGAAGUUUUUACACAUUGAAUAUAAGCAGUCCCAUUAACUAUAUCAAGAUUUCUGAAAAAAGAAGACAAAAUUCACCUCAAAAGCUGAUCCUUCUGAACAACAACAAAAGAUAAAUGUUGGUUGAUACUAGAUUAAAGUUGCUUUAAUUUGUAUUUCAAUUGCACUUUUCCCUCUACAUCAAUGUUUAUGAAGUUUCAGUGUUUUUUAAAGGGUGAAGGCCGUAUUCAGUAGCUGUGUAGUUGAACUGAACACAACAGGUUAUCUUUUUAUUGUUGGUUAGCCCAUAUUUCUCCUACCAGAUUAAGGAUUGACUAUGAAUUAUGCUAAACAAUAUUCAUCCUCUGGUGUGGAGUAAAACUCUGGGAUGAAUUUUGCCUCACUCAUUUAACUUACUCCUUCAACAACUCCUUCAAUCUUUUCCUGUUAGGAUAAGAUUAAUCAGUUCUAAUAUUUUGAGAGUUCCAAGACUCAGCUGAUGAGUAUCACUUGCAUGAAACAAGUAUCAGAGUAAUUUUGUUCUGUUCAUCAUUGUUUGGGUAGAGGUUAGACAGCAAUUUACCUGUUCACAGAAGAAAGGAGAUAUAUAGAAAAAUGAUAAAACUCCUGGAGAAUUAAAAUUUUAAGUCUGAGGGCUAACUUCAGCCUACAAAGGAGAAAACUGUCUGGAGAUGGUCCUGGUUGAGGCUAGAUGAGGCAACCUUCAUCAUCCACUCCUUGCCAGAAAAAUUGUAUUAACAGUGACUUCUCAUGUAUCCUAUCCUUCUGCAUAGACACAAAGACAGACAUGAUGUUUGAACAAUUAGUCAUUCUUCUUCAUUCAUACCAAGUCAAUUUAAGUAUGUUUUGCACACUUUUUUUUUUUUUUAUUUUCUAAAUUGGUCCUGAAAGAAAAAGGAAAAAGGAAAAAAAAAAAAAAAGAA